RNAcentral lists this small RNA (27 nucleotides) under Bombyx mori (domestic silkworm). RNAcentral's name for it is "ovarian small RNA-33303". Lineage: Eukaryota; Metazoa; Arthropoda; Insecta; Lepidoptera; Bombycidae. The record is from RNAcentral.
UGCAACAAUAUGGAUGGCAACAAUAAC